CACAUGGGCAGGCAGGGUGUCUGCUGUCAUCACAGACAGUUCUAGAGGUGCCCCCAACAGAGCGGCUCAGCUGUGGCAUAGGGCCAAAAACAGUGGAACAUUUCUUCAUUGCAGGUUGCUCUGCACAGAGGAGGUAAAAUGAUUUCCUGCUGGCUCUGUAAGUCGGGAUCUCAGCAGCCUGAGGCAGGGAGUAAGUUAAUGCUGUGAUGUUCUGAUUCUGAUGCAACGCAAAGGGCAGCAGGUGUCUGCAGGAAAACACAUCUUGAAUACAUCAGGAGCAUCCCAACACUCAGACUGUGCUCUUCACAUCUACAGUAAGAUUCACCUGUCUCACAUGCUGAGGUUAAUUGAAGAUUUGAACAUAAUUACUGCAUCCCAAGUGCUCCACAGCUGGUGUCCAGAAGUUGAAGGACAAAGCUAA
RNAcentral lists this long non-coding RNA (421 nucleotides) under Cyanistes caeruleus (blue tit). RNAcentral's name for it is "lncRNA (ENSCCEG00000009849.1)". Lineage: Eukaryota; Metazoa; Chordata; Aves; Passeriformes; Paridae. The record is from RNAcentral.